UACAGAGGUCUCAAGCGUUGUUCGGAUUCAUUGGGCGUAAAGGGUGCGUAGGCGGCGCGGUAAGUCGGAUGUGAAAUCUCGGAGCUUAACUCCGAAACUGCAUUCGAUACUGCCGUGCUUGAGGACUGGAGAGGAGACUGGAAUUUACGGUGUAGCGGUGAAAUGCGUAGAUAUCAUGAGGAAGACCAGUGGCGAAGGCGGAUCUCUGGACAGUUCCUGACACUGAGGCACGAAGGCCAGGGGAGCAAACGGG
RNAcentral lists this ribosomal RNA (253 nucleotides) under uncultured bacterium. RNAcentral describes it as "partial 16S ribosomal RNA". It matches the Rfam family "Bacterial small subunit ribosomal RNA", at positions 524 to 776 of the family's 1533-position model. The record is from RNAcentral.